UGCCUGUAGAUCUCCAUCGGAAUGCAGAAAAGAUCCUUUAAAAAAAAGUUUGAAUUCCUGAAUGAUUUUUUUUUCUUGUAGAAAGGCGGCUUAGGAUAAUUAUUGCAGCUUUAUUGAGAGCAGAUUAGAAGAAGUCUGGAUGGAGGGCUGUACAUGCCUUUACAAUGU
This is a non-coding RNA of Pelobates cultripes (western spadefoot toad), 168 nucleotides long. The record is from the annotation of a GenBank genome assembly. NCBI's taxonomy places the organism in Eukaryota, Metazoa, Chordata, Amphibia, Anura, Pelobatidae.